AAGUCGAACGGCGAGCACGGAGCAUCUGGUGGCGAGUGGCGAACGGUGAGUAAUAGUAUCGGAACGUGCCAGUAGUGGGGAGUAACUGCUCGAAAGAGCAGCUAAUACCGCAUACGACCUGAGGGUGAAAGGGGGGGAGUCGCAAGACCUCUCGCUAUUGGAGCGGCCGAUAUCAGAUUAGCUAGUUGGUGGGGUAAAGGCCUACCAAGGCAACGAUCUGUAGUUGGUCUGAGAGGACGACCAGCCACACUGGGACUGAGACACGGCCCAGACUCCUACGGGAGGCAGCAGUGGGGAAUUUUGGACAAUGGGCGCAAGCCUGAUCCAGCAAUGCCGCGUGCAGGAAGAAGGCCUUCGGGUUGUAAACUGCUUUUGUCAGGGAAGAAAUCCUCUAGGUUAAUACCCUUGGGGGGAUGACGGUACCUGAAGAAUAAGCACCGGCUAACUACGUGCCAGCAGCCGCGGUAAUACGUAGGGUGCAAGCGUUAAUCG
Molecule: ribosomal RNA, 492 nt
Filed under: uncultured bacterium
Lineage: Bacteria
Description: bacterial SSU rRNA
Rfam family: Bacterial small subunit ribosomal RNA
Source: RNAcentral